RNAcentral lists this ribosomal RNA (1419 nucleotides) under Triticum aestivum (bread wheat). RNAcentral describes it as "partial small subunit ribosomal RNA". The record is from RNAcentral. Lineage: Eukaryota; Viridiplantae; Streptophyta; Magnoliopsida; Poales; Poaceae.
AUGGCGCCGCCGCCAAGGCAUGGUUGCAUGCUCCGUGCCGAGGUGGUCAUAUGCAUAUUCCUCGUCAUAGCACCGUUCAGCAUGGCGAUCGGUGUCAACUACGGCACCAAGGGUGACAACCUUCCAUCGCCGGCUAAGGUUGCGGCAUUCCUCGUGACCCGCACAAACAUUGACCGUGUAAAGCUGUUUGACACCAAGCCGGACAUUAUCCGGGCCUUCGCUGGCACGGGCAUCUCGGUAAUGGUCACAGCAAGCAAUGGCGACAUCCCUGGCCUCACCACCCAGAACGGCGCCGAUGCAUGGGUCGCUACCAAUAUCGCGCCAUACUACCCCGCCACAGAUAUAUCUCUCGUCGCCGUUGGCAACGAGAUCAUGGACACGGCCGACAAGAAUCUCAUCAGCAACCUCGUCCCCGCUAUGCAGACACUCAAGGCCGCGCUCGUCACGGCUGGCUACGGCAAAAUUCGUGUUUCCACGCCAAGCUCACUCGGCAUCCUGGUUGACGCCCAGCCGCCGUCCGCGGCUCGGUUUCGCGAUGUCUGGGAUGUUGCCAUCUUCACGCCGAUGCUCCAAUUUCUCCGGAAGACCAAGUCCCCACUCAUCGUGAACACGUACCCGUACUUUGGGUACAACGGUGACACGCUACCGUACGCGCUGGCGCGGCCGAACCCUGGCGUGCUAGACACGGGUACGGGCAUCACAUACACGAGCAUGCUUGAGGCACAGCUUGACUCGGUGUACUCUGCAAUGAAGAAACUUGGGUUUGAGGACGUGGAGAUCCUGGUGGGGGAGACCGGGUGGCCGACUAAGGCGAUGGACGGGCAGAUAGGCGUGAGCCCGGCCGAGGCGGCGGAGUACAACAAAUAUCUCAUCGGUGAGGUUAGCUCCGGGUCAGGCACACCGCUCAUGCCAAAGCGGAAGUUCGAGACGUACAUAUUCGCGCUCUUCAACGAGGACCUCAAGCCCGGGCCCGUGGCCGAGCGCAAUUUCGGGAUGUUCCAGCCAGACUUCACGCCGAUGUAUGACAUUGGCAUCAUGAAAGAUCCGGUCAAAACGGCACCGCCUAUGGCCGCCACAGCUCAUGCCUUGGAGGCUGCGGGGCCUACAGAGGCGAACGGCUCGAACAGCGCCAAGGCGUCCGCGCCGGCAGGCAACAAAUCCUCGACCAAUGACAGGACGCCGGAGGAGGUGGAAGGACUGGAUACUCCGUCAUCGGCGAAGGGCGAGCCGUCAGAAUUGGACUCGUCGGAGGCAGCAGCCAAGGGUGGUGACGGCGAAGAAGAAAACAGUGAGAAAACCAAACCCAAAGAAGAGAGUGCAACGCCGCGGGCGGCCGGAGCUGCUUCAGAAGCCACCAACUUUCUUUUUCCGAUCCCUUGCAUACUUGCAGUUGCGCUCUGUCUAACUGUCCAUGUCUAA